GACGAACGCUGGCGGCGUGCCUAAUACAUGCAAGUAGGACGCACAGUUUAUACCGUAGCUUGCUACACCAUAGACUGUGAGUUGCGAACGGGUGAGUAACGCGUAGGUAACCUGCCUAUUAGAGGGGGAUAACUAUUGGAAACGAUAGCUAAUACCGCAUAACAGUAUGUAACACAUGUUAGAUGCUUGAAAGAUGCAAUUGCAUCGCUAGUAGAUGGACCUGCGUUGUAUUAGCUAGUAGGUAGGGUAAUGGCCUACCUAGGCGACGAUACAUAGCCGACCUGAGAGGGCGAUCGGCCACACUGGGACUGAGACACGGCCCAGACUCCUACGGGAGGCAGCAGUAGGGAAUCUUCGGCAAUGGGGGGAACCCUGACCGAGCAACGCCGCGUGAGCGAAGAGUUUUCGGAUCGUAAAGCUCUGUUGUUAAGGAAGAACGAGUGUGAGAAUGGAAAGUUCAUACUGGAC
This 468-nucleotide ribosomal RNA is filed under the name Streptococcus anginosus. RNAcentral's name for it is "bacterial SSU rRNA". It matches the Rfam family "Bacterial small subunit ribosomal RNA", at positions 28 to 478 of the family's 1533-position model. Lineage: Bacteria; Bacillati; Bacillota; Bacilli; Lactobacillales; Streptococcaceae. The record is from RNAcentral.